Stegodyphus mimosarum is the source of this 73-nucleotide non-coding RNA. NCBI's taxonomy places the organism in Eukaryota, Metazoa, Arthropoda, Arachnida, Araneae, Eresidae. The record is from Rfam.
GCCUUGGUGGUGUAAUAUUCAGCAUGCUCGGCGCGUAUUCGAGAGGUCCGAGGUUCGAGUCCCGGCAAGGGCA